This is a non-coding RNA of Acanthosepion pharaonis, 111 nucleotides long. NCBI's taxonomy places the organism in Eukaryota, Metazoa, Mollusca, Cephalopoda, Sepiida, Sepiidae. The record is from the annotation of a GenBank genome assembly.
UGGCCAUAUCACGUUGAAAUACUUGUUCCCAUACGGUCACCGGAGUUAAGCAAACCCGAACCUGGUCAAUACCUAGAUGGGUGACUGCUUGAGAAUUCCAGGUGCUGUAAG